UUGAAUAAUUCAUUUGGAUUGAACUAUUCAUUGAUAGUGCAUGUGUGUUGAUUAAGAUAAGUAUGACUCACCGUUUUGCCUUAGGCAAAUAUAGAAAAGUUUUAGUUUUAUAUGUUGGAGGAACCAUUGGAAUGCAAAGAAAUAAUGAAGGAGUUUUCAUUCCAGU
Molecule: long non-coding RNA, 166 nt
Organism: Leptinotarsa decemlineata (Colorado potato beetle)
Lineage: Eukaryota; Metazoa; Arthropoda; Insecta; Coleoptera; Chrysomelidae
Source: RefSeq, a predicted model, not a curated record